UCCGUAGGUGGAUAAUUAAGUCAGAGGUGAAAUCCUGCAGCUCAACUGUAGAAUUGCCUUUGAUACUGGUUAUCUUGAGUCAUUAUGAAGUGGUUAGAAUGUGUAGUGUAGCGGUGAAAUGCAUAGAUAUUACACAGAAUACCGAUUGCGAAGGCAGAUCACUAAUAAUGUACUGACACUGAGGGACGAAAGCGUGGGGAGCGAACCGGAUUAGAUACCCGAGUAGUCC
This 229-nucleotide ribosomal RNA is filed under the name uncultured bacterium. RNAcentral describes it as "partial 16S ribosomal RNA". It matches the Rfam family "Bacterial small subunit ribosomal RNA", at positions 568 to 796 of the family's 1533-position model. The record is from RNAcentral.